Molecule: ribosomal RNA, 496 nt
Filed under: uncultured bacterium
Lineage: Bacteria
Description: partial 16S ribosomal RNA
Rfam family: Bacterial small subunit ribosomal RNA
Source: RNAcentral
GAUGAACGCUGGCGGCGUGCCUAAUACAUGCAAGUCGAGCGAACAGACGAGGAGCUUGCUCCUCUGACGUUAGCGGCGGACGGGUGAGUAACACGUGGAUAACCUACCUAUAAGACUGGGAUAACUUCGGGAAACCGGAGCUAAUACCGGAUAAUAUAUUGAACCGCAUGGUUCAAUAGUGAAAGACGGUUUUGCCGUCACUUAUAGAUGGAUCCGCGCCGCAUUAGCUAGUCGGUAAGGUAACGGCUUACCAAGGCAACGAUGCGUAGCCGACCUGAGAGGGUGAUCGGCCACACUGGAACUGAGACACGGUCCAGACUCCUACGGGAGGCAGCAGUAGGGAAUCUUCCGCAAUGGGCGAAAGCCUGACGGAGCAACGCCGCGUGAGUGAUGAAGGUCUUCGGAUCGUAAAACUCUGUUAUUAGGGAAGAACAAAUGUGUAAGUAACUAUGCACGUCUUGACGGUACCUAAUCAGAAAGCCACGGCUAACUACGU